Non-coding RNA from Chelonoidis abingdonii (Abingdon island giant tortoise), 136 nucleotides. The record is from RefSeq and is a predicted model, not a curated record. Lineage: Eukaryota; Metazoa; Chordata; Testudines; Testudinidae.
AAUAACCCCCACCAGCCCCUCCUCAUCUGCUCAGACCCCUUUUUCCCGGGCCAGGAGUCACUCUAUCUCUUGGUCUCCAACACCUUCAGCUGGCACCAUUUGCUAGAGGAAGGGGCCAGGCCAUCAGUUCGCUAAA